Molecule: transfer RNA, 84 nt
Filed under: Chloroflexi bacterium HGW-Chloroflexi-10
Lineage: Bacteria; Bacillati; Chloroflexota
Description: tRNA-Leu
Rfam family: tRNA
About the family: Transfer RNA (tRNA) molecules are approximately 80 nucleotides in length.
Source: RNAcentral
GGGGCGGUGGCGAAAUUGGCAGACGCAGAGGACUUAAAAUCCUCCGGUGGAGACACCUUGCGGGUUCAAGUCCCGCCCGCCCCA